RNAcentral lists this ribosomal RNA (207 nucleotides) under uncultured bacterium. RNAcentral's name for it is "partial 16S ribosomal RNA". It matches the Rfam family "Bacterial small subunit ribosomal RNA", at positions 568 to 774 of the family's 1533-position model. The record is from RNAcentral.
UGUGUAGGCGGUUCUUUAAGUUUGCUGUGAAAUCUCCCGGCUUAACCGGGAGGGUGCGGUGAAUACUGAGGGACUAGAGUACGGGAGAGGAAAGUGGAAUUCCUGGUGUAGCGGUGAAAUGCGUAGAUAUCAGGAGGAACGCCGGUGGUGUAGACGGCUUUCUGGACCGUAACUGACGCUGAAACACGAAAGCGUGGGUAGCAAACA